RNAcentral lists this ribosomal RNA (234 nucleotides) under uncultured bacterium. RNAcentral describes it as "partial 16S ribosomal RNA". It matches the Rfam family "Bacterial small subunit ribosomal RNA", at positions 15 to 235 of the family's 1533-position model. The record is from RNAcentral.
GCUCAUGGCUCAGGACGAACGCUGGCGGCGUGCCUAAUACAUGCAAGUAGAACGCUGAAGGAGAAGCUUGCUUCUCUGGAUGAGUUGCGAACGGGUGAGUAACGCGUAGGUAACCUGCCUGGUAGCGGGGGAUAACUAUUGGAAACGAUAGCUAAUACCGCAUAAUAGUAGAUGUUGCAUGACAUUUGUCUUAAAGGUUAGGCAAUUAGUCAUCACUACCACGAUGGACCGUCG